Molecule: ribosomal RNA, 468 nt
Filed under: uncultured bacterium
Lineage: Bacteria
Description: partial 16S ribosomal RNA
Rfam family: Bacterial small subunit ribosomal RNA
Source: RNAcentral
GAUGAACGCUGGCGGCGUGCUUAACACAUGCAAGUCGAACGAAAAGAUCCUGCGCUUGUUGGUUUCUCGUUUGCCGAACGCGUGAGUAACACGUGAGUAUCCUGUCCUUGUCUUUGUGAUAACUUCAGGAAACUGCGGCUAAUAUCGGAUAUGAUCUCCUGCUGCAUGUUGUGGGUUGGAAAGUUUCGGCUGUUGUGGAUCGACUCGAGGCUUAUCAGCUUGUUUGUGUGGUAGUGGCUUACCAAGGCUUUGACGGGUAGGCGGCCUGAGAGCGUGAACGGCGACAUUGGGACUGAGAGACGGACCAGACUGCUACGGGCGGCAGUAGUCGGGAAUAUUGCAGAAUGGGCGGAAGUCUGAGACAGCAACGCCGCGUGCGGAAUGACGGCUUUCGGGUUGUAAACAGAUUUCGCCUGUGACGAAGCGUGAGUGACGGUAAUGGGUAAAGAAGCAACGGCUAACUACGUG